UCAGGCGCCGCCGCGCCCUUCCUGUUGUCAGUGGCCCGGAGGCCGUAGCGUCGGCUCCGAGUCUGAGGCGCUGUAGCGGCCGGGAGCUCAGCCCGCCCGGUCCCUGCUCCCUGUGGUGUCAUGUGAGUCUCCUUGCUUAGUGGUGCCUGAGUGGAAAUGCUCUCAGUGGUGGAGAAUGGACAGGAGUCCCGGGCUGCCGUCUCGGUCAUCAAGAAGAAACUGGUGGGAUCCGUGAA
Molecule: long non-coding RNA, 236 nt
Organism: Castor canadensis (American beaver)
Lineage: Eukaryota; Metazoa; Chordata; Mammalia; Rodentia; Castoridae
Source: RefSeq, a predicted model, not a curated record